Salvelinus fontinalis (brook trout) is the source of this 1115-nucleotide long non-coding RNA. RefSeq lists it as uncharacterized. The record is from RefSeq and is a predicted model, not a curated record. The transcript is spliced from 3 exons. NCBI's taxonomy places the organism in Eukaryota, Metazoa, Chordata, Actinopteri, Salmoniformes, Salmonidae.
UGUCAAGUAAUAUUAUGCUCCGGCAACAAGCAUUCAUAUUUCUUGUAAAGUUAUUAGUAUUCUUAGAAUAUCUUCAGAUUCUAUGAAAUGUUCAGCACGUCUCUCUUCAGGAUAAUGGACAGUCCAGUGGGCAUCAUCUAUGUAGCCAAGUGAUCAUAGGGUCCAGGGGGCAGCAAUAGAAGGAACAGGGAAGCCGCGGAGUAGUCGUUACUACGCUAGUACGCGGGCGACACGGCGUUUAAAAUUAGUAGCCCGGGGCUAGUAGAAGCGUCUGCUCCGACGUCCGAAGGAGGCCGGUUGAAGGCACAGCGGAUGGAGUAUUCGUCGGCAGACCUGUCGUGGUGGUGCGGCGCCGUGUCGACUAAGGAUGCAAGCCAGAUGGCGAAAGAGGUAUUGUAGUUGUAGUAAUUUACAGACAGUUACCAGGCAAUGUGUUAAACUAAAUCCACACAGAUUAUCCCAUCCCAAUUAGUGAUGUCUCGUUCUCUCUUUUGGAGAACCAGGGCUAUGUCUGUAACUCCAAUGUUAUGUAACUAGUUACUUUGACACGAUAUACGUCCCAGCAGUUUAAACAUUAUUUAACAGGUUUUCUGUUGUGUUUCAGGCUGUGGCUCCAAGGUUCUCUGGCCGUUGGUUGGAGUGCUGCUGGCCCUGGCUGUGGCUUUGAUCUCCACACAGUACUACUUCAGCAGACUACCCAAAAAGUGUCGACAUCAGUUUGCCAAGAAAGGACCAUUGGAGUAAUUCAGAGCGCCCACACUGCAGACGCAGAGACAGUGCUGUAUUUACUGUAUGUGUCCUUACAGGGAUCUCCUUCCACUUUAUGAAUCUGAAGACUGUUUUAUCAUCAUCUUACUUUUCUAUUCUUUGUUCAUUACAACGAUGAACCAACCUGAAGUUCCAACUGUCUAAAAGAAAACAUUUAGGAUUCUGUUCACAAUGUUAACGUCUCUGGCUAUGGAUUUGUAAUUAAGGGGAUGUAUCAUAUAUAAAACCUUUAUAUUGAAGCAGUAUUACUCUGGUAUGUGCUAGUAUUACACCAAUGCUAUGCAUUCUGCUGCGGUAGCCUAAUGUUAUGAUUAUUGGAUUUAUGCAUCAUGUAUUGAUGAUAAAUA